RNAcentral lists this long non-coding RNA (1451 nucleotides) under Oryctolagus cuniculus (rabbit). Its description in RNAcentral is "lncRNA (ENSOCUG00000038809.1)". Lineage: Eukaryota; Metazoa; Chordata; Mammalia; Lagomorpha; Leporidae. The record is from RNAcentral.
AGACACACCUGUUCCUGGUCAUGAGCUGGUGGCCAGGGGCUUGCUCUAUCACUACGUGCAGGAGCAGGGCGGCCUGGCUGAGGACGAGGCCAGGGCCCUGUUCGGCCAGGCGCUGGCCGCCGUGAGCUACUGCCAUGGCCAGCACGUGGCGCACCGGGACCUCAAGCUGGACAACCUGCUGCUGGACGAGCACAUGAACAUCAAGCUGGCGGACUUCGGGCUGAGCCUGCGGCUGGAGCAGGGCACGCUGGUAAGGGACGCCUGCGGGACCCCCGAGUACUGUGCACCAGAGUUUUCCUCGAGGAGGACUACGAUGCAUUAAAGGCCAACGUGUGGAGUCUGGGGGUGGUGCUGUUUGCCAUGCUGGAGGCCACGCUGCCCUUCGGCGGCAAAGACUUGGAAGAGCUGCAGGACCGGGUGCUGUGCGGCUCCUACGUGGUGCCACGUGGCAUCAGCCCGGCCCUGCAGGAGCUGCUGGCGUGGCUGCUCACCGUUGACGCCUCGGGGAGGCCCAGUGCGGAGGACGCCAGCACCCACUCGUGGUUCAGCCUCAGCCGAGAAGCCGCCCAGGAGCACGAGGAGGGCGCGGUCACCCCGCUGCAGCCCCUGGGCGUUCCCCGGGACCUGGAGGCCAGGGAGUACCUGGCGGGCCUCGGCCUGCUGCCAGGCACAGGGACCGAGGGGACUCCAGGCCCUCAGCCCCAGGACCCUGCGUCCCUGCCCAAGUCCUCGCAGAACAGCAAGUUCCCCCCCAUAGAGGACGACGGCUUGGCUCUGGUGUCCUGUGACAGCAUGGCCGUCAACGUUUCCUCCGCACAAAGCGACUCCUCCGAGGCCCCCAGCCAGCCACAGCAGGAGAGGAGCCCUGCUCCCAGUGCCGCCCCCGACUCCUCCAAGCCCUCCAGUGAGUCUUGCCCACUCCCCACAUCCCCUGCCACUUUGGGGCCUCCAGGAGCUGAGCCCAAGGCCCCCGAGGUGACCCCACUCUUGACUCUCUCCUACCAGGCCAGCCACAGCAGGAAAGGAGCCCUGCUCCCAGCGCAGCCCCCCAGCCAGCCUCCAAGGCGUCGCCCUCCAGCCCCAAUGCCAGGAGCCGUGUGGACCUCGCAGAGCCAGAAGCCGCCGCAGCUGCCCGUGAGCCUGAGGGGGCUGGGACCGCAGCCACCGCUGACACCACAGACUCCACAGCCAGCGCCCAGGACAAGAGGCAGGGCCGGCACGGGGUCGGCAGGAGGAUCCUCCGGUUCCUGCCGAGGGCGUGCUGCAUCCUGCCGUCCUGAGGGAGCAGCCCUGGUCACUGCUGCCGCAGAGUGGCCCCCAAGUAGCCUCGCUCCGCCCCCGUCACCAGGAGCAAUGCGCAGGCUGAGCUGACUGAACGUUUUUCUUUUCUUGAACAUUUGCAAAUGCUUCUCAUGAAUAAACUUCACCUUUGUGCGUGCCUUUGGUCCCGU